UUCAUCAGCAUCCCCCCGCCAUCCCCUGGCUGUGCGUGCGCUCACGCAAGAAGUGAGUACAGAAUAAGGAGGUGUGAAUUGCUUCUGUCUCUGUGCAAGAACGAUGAAGCAGCGAGGUACCAAUGAGACACCUCCCUCAUACCAACAAGGAAUAAAUGCUUCCAGUUGUGUGGUGUUUCCUGCAAAAUGGACAAGGCUGCUACCUGGUGCUGUCCCGACUCCCAGCACAUUUCAGGUGGCAGGAUAACAUAACCAGGGUGAGAAAAGCUCUCUGAAAACACUACAGCUGCUGAUAAUGGAAACUAUUCUGAUGUGUUAAGAAAAGAAAGUUGCAAAAGCUGGAGUCCACCUGGUCUCCUUGUGAUUCACACAGGCUGAAGAAAGACUGAAGUAUGCAACAUCUACACCAAAACUGAAGUUUUGAACCCAUCUAGAAAACAGUGGAAAGAAGCCUAAUUUCCUACGGGAGGGGCACAGCAAAGAAAGAGGGUUUGUGAUUGUCUGUCCUUCCCUGAAGAACCCGAGGGAUACGGGAUUUGGCACACAGUCAGGGCCUGAGAGGCAGUAACAGCAGAUGGAUCACCUCGGAUGUGUGGCAGUUGCCUUGUCCUUGUUUGCAGUGAGAGCCUUGUGGUGCAAGGAUAGAAUGUUCCUGUCAAUCCAGCAGAUGUUCCAGCGUGUCCUCCAUUUGAUUAGGCCUAGGAACGCUAUUUUCCCCCCACAUCCAUAAAUUACUUAUUCCCAUGAAGCGUGACUUCUGUUUUUUAUCACUUAUGUAAACCGUA
Pseudopodoces humilis (Tibetan ground-tit) is the source of this 785-nucleotide long non-coding RNA. RefSeq lists it as uncharacterized. NCBI's taxonomy places the organism in Eukaryota, Metazoa, Chordata, Aves, Passeriformes, Paridae. The record is from RefSeq and is a predicted model, not a curated record.